CUCGGGGUGCUAAAAAUAUCAGUACAUCAGAAGGGUAAUUUUCACCCUCUCACACACAUCUCUGGUACCCACACCGGAGUUUAAACUAGAAUGGGUACUUUGGGGGCCUCGGUUGGUUAAAGUUGUCCCCUACUUUGACCAGGAGAUCAAUCUUCUGAUAUCUCUCUGGUUUGUCUGUUUCCACCGAGUGGCCCGGUGGUUCUCUCCGAGUACUUCGGCUUCCUCCACCACAAUAACAGACUUCCCGGUGUCCUACACGCUCCCUUGGGCGGUGUUUGGUGGGGAUUGUUCUGGUGGUGGGAUAAUAUUGUAAAGGACACAUCUCCAUUAAUCCUUAGGGAGUGUACAUGGAUCCGCUGUACCCUUG
RNAcentral lists this long non-coding RNA (367 nucleotides) under Mytilus galloprovincialis (Mediterranean mussel). The record is from RNAcentral. Lineage: Eukaryota; Metazoa; Mollusca; Bivalvia; Mytilida; Mytilidae.